UUCAAACAAACAAUCAACUACAGCCACUUGUCCAUAUCUUCUCGAUUGCUUGUCGAUAUCGUGUCUAUAGUUGUCAAUCAUGAAGGGAGUUGCUGUCAUUUUCGCUGUCGUCGCCGUUCUUGUGUGUGGUCACGUGGCCGAGGCCCAGGAAACCACGUGUCCACCACUCCGCUGUCUGGUGCCCUGUCCGCGGGGCUACAAGCGUGAUGCCAACAACUGUUUAACGUGUGAAUGUCUGACAGAGCAGGAGAUCAAAGCUAACCUUAUUCCCCUACUUGCUGGGAAAAUUUGAUACUAAACCUGUGAAGGCAACGGUUCAAGCCCAAAUACAAGGAAAAACAAGAGUUAGUUCCCUUUAGUUGAACACAUUGUCUGUUUGACAACGGAAUAAACACGAUUUAAAAACUUA
Molecule: long non-coding RNA, 409 nt
Filed under: Haliotis rufescens (red abalone)
Lineage: Eukaryota; Metazoa; Mollusca; Gastropoda; Lepetellida; Haliotidae
Description: uncharacterized LOC125372564
Source: RNAcentral